Molecule: ribosomal RNA, 405 nt
Filed under: uncultured prokaryote
Description: bacterial SSU rRNA
Rfam family: Bacterial small subunit ribosomal RNA
Source: RNAcentral
UGGGGAAUAUUGGGCAAUGGGCGAAAGCCUGACCCAGCAACGCCGCGUGAGGGAAGAAGGUUUUCGGAUUGUAAACCUCUGUCCUUGGGGACGAAGAAAGUGACGGUACCCAAGGAGGAAGCCCCGGCUAACUACGUGCCAGCAGCCGCGGUAAUACGUCGGGGGCGAGCGUUGUCCGGACUUACUGGGCGUAAAGGGUGCGUAGGCGGUUUCCUAAGUCAGAUGUGAAAGCCCCGGGCUUAACUCGGGGGGUGCAUUUGAAACUGGGAGGCUAGAGUGCAGGAGAGGGAAGCGGAAUUCCUAGUGUAGCGGUGAAAUGCGUAGAUAUUAGGAGGAACACCAGUGGCGAAGGCGGCUUUCUGGACUGUAACUGACGCUGAGGCACGAAAGCGUGGGGAGCAAACA